CCUACGGGUGGCAGCAGUGAGGAAUAUUGGUCAAUGGACGCGAGUCUGAACCAGCCAAGUAGCGUGAAGGAUGACUGCCCUAUGGGUUGUAAACUUCUUUUAUAUGGGAAUAAAGUGGUCCACGUGUGGAUUUUUGUAUGUACCAUAUGAAUAAGGAUCGGCUAACUCCGUGCCAGCAGCCGCGGUAAUACGGAGGAUCCGAGCGUUAUCCGGAUUUAUUGGGUUUAAAGGGAGCGUAGGCGGAUUGUUAAGUCAGUUGUGAAAGUUUGCGGCUCAACCGUAAAAUUGCAGUUGAUACUGGCAGUCUUGAGUGCAGUAGAGGUGGGCGGAAUUCGUGGUGUAGCGGUGAAAUGCUUAGAUAUCACGAAGAACUCCGAUUGCGAAGGCAGCUCACUGGAGUGUAACUGACGCUGAUGCUCGAAAGUGUGGGUAUCAAACAG
Molecule: ribosomal RNA, 440 nt
Filed under: uncultured bacterium
Lineage: Bacteria
Description: bacterial SSU rRNA
Rfam family: Bacterial small subunit ribosomal RNA
Source: RNAcentral